RNAcentral lists this unclassified non-coding RNA (243 nucleotides) under Hevea brasiliensis (rubber tree). Lineage: Eukaryota; Viridiplantae; Streptophyta; Magnoliopsida; Malpighiales; Euphorbiaceae. The record is from RNAcentral.
GAGCAAGUUUCAGAAUCUUAUUAUGUUUCCCGCAAUCUACAGAAAUAUGCUUCUGCAUCACAAAUGACCCCUAAUCAGAAAAAUCUCAUUAUUGAAUGAAUGAACGACAAAAUCAUAUGAUAACAGCUAGAUUCCAUAUUACAGAUUCUGCUCAAAGCAAAGUAUAACCCUUUAUUCAAUAGCUGCAGUCAGCUUUUUGAUAUCAUGAAUAAAAAAAUCGCAAACAAAUAAACAAUUAAAACU